UACGUAGGGUGCAAGCGUUAAUCGGAAUUACUGGGCGUAAAGCGUGCGCAGGCGGUUCGUUGUGUCGGCGGUGAAAGCCCCGGGCUCAACCCGGGAACUGCGUCCGAUACUGGCAGGCUUGAAUCCGGGAGAGGGAUGCGGAAUUCCAAGGUGUAGCGGUGAAAUGCGUAGAUAUCUGGAGGAACACCGGUGGCGAAGGCGGCGUUCUGGACUGCAACUGACACUGAGGAACGAAAGCCAGGGGAGCAAAACGGG
This 255-nucleotide ribosomal RNA is filed under the name uncultured bacterium. Its description in RNAcentral is "partial 16S ribosomal RNA". It matches the Rfam family "Bacterial small subunit ribosomal RNA", at positions 524 to 777 of the family's 1533-position model. The record is from RNAcentral.